RNAcentral lists this ribosomal RNA (390 nucleotides) under uncultured bacterium. RNAcentral describes it as "bacterial SSU rRNA". It matches the Rfam family "Bacterial small subunit ribosomal RNA", at positions 28 to 407 of the family's 1533-position model. The record is from RNAcentral.
GAUGAACGCUAGCGAUAGGCCUAACACAUGCAAGUCGAGGGGCAUCACAUGAAGUAGCAAUACGGAUGGUGGCGACCGGCGCACGGGUGAGUAACACGUAUGCAACCUGCCUUCAACAAGGGGAUAACCCGUUGAAAGACGGACUAAUACCCCUAUAACACAGGGGUCCCGCAUGGGGAAUAUUUGUUAAAGGACAACCGGUUGAAGAUGGGCAUGCGUUCCAUUAGCUAGUUGGCGGGGUAACGGCCCACCAAGGCAACGAUGGAUAGGGGAACUGAGAGGUUUAUCCCCCACACUGGUACUGAGACACGGACCAGACUCCUACGGGAGGCAGCAGUGAGGAAUAUUGGUCAAUGGACGCAAGUCUGAACCAGCCACGUCGCGUGAAGG